GUGGAGCGCAGCAGACUGGCGGGCGCGGCCGCCUCGGCCAGGUAAAAGUAAACGAGAUCGAGAGCGGCGUCGCACGGCACAAAGCGCCUCGGGUGCCACCGCACACUGUCGGCCUGGGCUAUAGCGCACGAUGCCAGCCAGCGGCGCGCGGCGCGCUCGCCCUCGCCCGGUCGCGUGGCCGGACGUCUCCACACGAGGACAGCAUUGAGUGACUCGUGAUUGUGUGGCACGCCGGCGCGCGUCACGACGCUGACGAAACCACCACCGGCAAAGUACCGACCGAGCGUGUGCGCGAGGGGUCCUAGCACAUUGCGGCAUAUGGGUCCCGCCGAACGCAGACAUGACACGCUGAACGCAGCCCUCGCCGCCGUUGUCGCAUCGACAGGUCCCGGUUCUAGACGCGCGGCAAAUCCAUGCGGUAGCACGGGGCUAUAGACGAUAACGCCGCCAGCGUGCAGGGUCGGUGGCGGCGGUGGCGGCGGAUCCCGCUUGCGCAAAACCCGCUGGGCGUCGUUGUUCACCUUUGUGGCCAAUAUGGCGCGCCGCCUUUGUGACAUCCCUGAUUCUUCUCUCUAUGUCUCUCUAUGCGCCUUUCUAUGUCUCUUAUCGACUCAACUGGACACGCACAAAAAACC
This 635-nucleotide long non-coding RNA is filed under the name Pandoravirus neocaledonia. Its description in RNAcentral is "hypothetical ncRNA". The record is from RNAcentral.